GCUGCAGAAUUUCGGCAUUCAGCGUUCGAACGCGCUCAAAUGCACGAGCAAACUCU
RNAcentral lists this small RNA (56 nucleotides) under Sinorhizobium meliloti 2011. Its description in RNAcentral is "putative ncRNA". The record is from RNAcentral. Lineage: Bacteria; Pseudomonadati; Pseudomonadota; Alphaproteobacteria; Hyphomicrobiales; Rhizobiaceae.